This 11432-nucleotide long non-coding RNA is filed under the name Nicotiana benthamiana. RNAcentral's name for it is "long non-coding RNA (NBEN_LNC006137)". Lineage: Eukaryota; Viridiplantae; Streptophyta; Magnoliopsida; Solanales; Solanaceae. The record is from RNAcentral.
GCAACCUUAGUGCGGACAAAAGUUGUAAUAGUAGGGAAAAAAUGGAGAGAAGGAACAACAGGGAAGAAGAAGAAAGAGUAGUUGCUGGAACAACUUUGACAAGAAAAAGUGAGAAAAGAUAAGCUUUUGAUAUUACUAUUUACAAUCAAGAAAGAAGGGAGAAUUGAAACCGUAUUGUAGCUUCAAGCGAAACAAUUCUUCGGCACAAAAAGGUCAAUUUCCCCUUUCUUUGAUUCUUCUUCAAUUUUACGGUGGAUUUCUUUAAAUCCCGAUUUAUGUAUUUGUAGGAUUCCAUCGGGUAUUGAAUAUUUAAUUUUUUUUUAAAAAUAUUAUGGACAACAAUUCUAUUUAUGUUUCAACUUAUAUGCAUGACUACAAAAAUUGAAUAGUACAAGGUAUAAACUGUAUAAAUAAUUUUUUUAAUAUAAAACUUUAGACUAAUUUAAAUUACUCAUACCAUGGGUAAAUAUAAUUAGACAAAUUGAUGAUAAAACAUAAAACUCCAAGGAUAGGGUAUUCUAUAUCAGUGAUGAAUUAGCCUAAAUGAGGCAAUUGACACGAGAUUAAUAUUAUGUGAUUAUAGAUUCAUUGGAGGAAGUUGUACGUUUGCUCGAGGUGAAGCAUUUGGUAUUUCAUCACGAGUACUGUUAGUAGUAAUCUUACCAUAAUUUGUGUUGUUGUGCGACUGCUCGAGAUGAAGCAUUUGGUAUUUCGGCAUGAAUACAGUGAGUAGUAAUCUUACCACAAUUUGUGUAUUCAUAACCUGCAUGGUUUAUAUGUUAUUUUGAAAAUAAACAUAUUAGCGAUGCUUUAAAAUUUGCAUGUGGGACAAAUCCUUUAUUUGAUAUGAUACCAAGUAGUUUACUUGAGAUGUUACCGAAUAAUCUAAAUGUUUUCACCGUUACUAGAUAUGUUUUACCGUUACUUGAGAUGUUACAGUUAUUUGAAUUAUUUUCACUAUUACUAGACAUGUUUUACUAUUACUUGAGAUAUGAUGACUAUCACCUAAAAAUAAAAAUACAAGAUUAGAUAAGGAAUGAUAUGCCCUUUAUUAUUUUUAUAAUACUUUUGUACGAGUAUUUACUAUUUACAAGAAAGAGUAUAAAUGGGAGGAGACUUUGAAGGAUCCCGUAGCUAAUGGCGAGUUCGUUAGACCUGGUACACCUUGUAUUUAAUUACCGAUUACGGUUAUAGCCCUCGCUAGUGGGAAGGUAGAACAAGCAUACAAUUAUAGUUUUCCCUCGAGUAGGGACCUACAAGUUAUAUUUGGCUCUUUUACGAAGGGGCUGACAUAGUGAUACAAAUUACAUGAUCCUUUCUUGGAAACCUCCCAAAUAUAAAUAUUUGCUAUGAAACAGUGUCUACGUAUUUUUUAUCGAUUUUUUAACUUGAUUUCUGUCACAGGAAGUACAUGAAUAGACUUAUUAUAUUUACUGUUUCUAACAGGGCAUUUUAUUUUUAUGAUAGUUCCUAUUAUUAUUAUACAUGCAUGUUUACUGACUUGUCCCCAGUUAAAAACUGUUGUGGUGACGUGUUAUUACUCACUGAGCUAGCGACUUACUCUCCGCUAAUUUUUAAUAGAGACAACAGUUAAUGCAGAUAAGAAUUUUGUUAAUCAGAUCGCACAUGUUGAUAUUUCUCGGUGAGCCUCGCACUUGUUCGCGUGGGCAAAGAUUUUAUUUAUUGUUGUGGUCUUUUCAUUGAACUCUUAGAGUCGCUCCAUAGUCAUUUUUUUAAUGUCAUGAGUAUUCUUUUAUUUUUAUAGUCGUAAUGUUGAGUAUCGUUCUCAUUUAUCAAAGUUGGAGAUAAAUUAGUAUUUCUGGUGGUUAGUUGGUGGUUUAGUUAUGGUGGAGACUUGUUUUGGUUAAUUGAUAAGUUGUCGAUUGGUUGGUUUGAUAUUAUGAUGGUUUGUUGUUGAUCAUGAAACAGGAAAGCUUUUUUGGGAUACUCCAAAAACAGAGAAAACGCUGUCCGUUUUUAUGUAAAAUACCGAUGAGGCUUACUUGGGGGCACUUGCUCCUAAGCGCCGGUCACGAUCUAAAUUGGGUCGUAACAAAGUUGGCAUCAAUGCUUAGGUUAUUUUUGUGACUAAUGGAGUAUACGUCGGUAGUAGAAUCUCAAUUAUGGUUAUGUAGCCGGCCACUCCCAUAAUCGUGAUUCUGCGAGAGCGUGAUAGGAUGUGUCUUAUCUUUCUUUCUCAUUCUUCCGUAUGUGUUUGGUGAAUCUGUCAUUGUUAUCAUUUUCUUGUAUGACAUGGAUCAACCUGAUAAUAGAAUUUGACUAGAGGUUCAAGGACAUCAAAUUUUUCCACUAGGCGGGCGGUCUCCCUGUAAAGAAAAGCAACAUAAGUAGUAGACUAGGCCAAUAAAAGGGCCGCUGUUCCAUGAUGAGAGUCUUGCCUCUAAGAUGGGUAAUAUAGUCUAUACCUAAAGUUAGUAUGUGUUCACUAUUAUACUAAUAGUACAGUGGCAUCACAAAGGUUCUUACCUUGAAGGAAGGGGAAAUUGAGAUCUCGAUGGAUACAAUUUAUAGACAAGGGAAGAAUGGGAACAAAGGGCUCUAGAGCCCUCAAAUAUCUAGUUUAGGUCUUCCACUGAGAUAAUUUCUAAAAUUGAAACCACAAAGUUUACCAUUUUUGUUAAUGGUGAGGAUCCUCAGAGGUUCUUGUCGAUGUGGAAAUACUUGAAGCAUUAUGAGCUCUAAGAUAUUAAAACAAGAAGUCUGUGGAGCUAGCAACUUGCACAUUGGACAAUAUCACCAAUACAUGGUAUAAUGUACUGUUAAGAACACAAAUAGGACUGCACAAAUUAUUUGAAAACGAGUUUACAAAAUUUUUUUGAAAAGUCAUACUAGUUAAGAGAGGUUUCAAAGAUAAAAGGUACUAACAUAUAAUACCAAAUUUCUCAAUUAGAUAGGCACAUAUCAUCUCAUAUUUAAAGACUAACAUAAAGAAAUGCUUCACCUCCUAGACAUGGUUGUAACCCCAUAUAUGGAUAAUAUGACCUAUUUUAUUGUAGUUAAGGGUAUUAGAAAUAUUGAAAACAUGAACAAGAUAGGCAUAGAACAAAAGUUUGAUGGGAGAAGAACAAGACUUGAUUUUUUCCGAAGCGCAUUUAAAUGAUCGUCGAAAAAUUUUGGCAUGUGAGAUAUUGACAUGAUCCUUUUGACUUGUUGCUUAUGUGGGAGAAUCUGAGUUAAUUAAAUAUGUUCAACAAGCUUGUAUUAAAAUUGAGUAUAGAAAUAUUGUAGUUGACUUGAUAUUACUUAAUAUGGUCUAUCAUAUUGAAGGGUACAUACUUAUUAUCUUUGUCACGACCUGAAUUUUUCCAUCAUCGGGAGUCGUGAUGGCGCCUACUGUCAAAGCUAGGCAAGGCAACCUUUUUUAAUCAUUUUCACAAAAACCUUAAAACAAUAUAAAUACUGAAAUAAUUAAAAACCACGCGGAAGACUUUUAGCAACAAUAGCAAUGAUAAACUGCGGAAACUAGUAACAUGGUUCUACCUAGUAUCUGGUGUCACUACUCACGUACGCCAACGGUCUGAAAGAAAUACAUAACAUGUCUAUUUUGAUACAAUAAAAACAAAUUGGAAGAGAUAGAGGAUACUCAGGGCUCGCGCACGCCAGUGAAAUACCUCAUAGUCUCUAGACUGAAGGAUUGCUCCCUAACUACUGCUGCUGUCCGUAAGCUGUGUCCUGGCCUGUGCACAAAAAGGCACAGAAGUGUAGUAUCAGCACAACUGACCCCAUGUGCUGGUAAGUGCCCGGCCUAAAUGGAGAGGUAGUGACGAGGCUAAAUCGAACCUACCACAAUAAACCUGUACGGAUAUAUGUGCAAUAACAGAAAGAGAACAAGAAUUUAAAAAGAAAAUGGGGAGGGGACAUCCUGGGGGUGUAACAAUUCAAUUGUAACUUCAACAAACAAGAAAUGGAACUGAAUAUAUAACAAUAACUAGAAAAAGCCAGUGAAUCAACAACUGUACGACACCACCCUUCAUGCUUUUACUCUCAUUUCUCACCAAAACUAUCAAAUAUAAUGCACGGUAUUACCCUUCGUGCUUUUACUCUCAUUUCUCACCAAGACUGUCAAAUAAAAUGCAUGGCAUCACCAUUCGUGCUUUUACUCUCAAUACACAGUGCACAACAUCACCCUUCGUGCUUUUACUCUCAAUACAUAAUGCACGACAUCACUCUUCGUGCUUUUACUCUUAAUACAUAAUGCACGGCAUCACCCUUCAUGCUUUUACUUUCUCUUCAUCACCCAAUCAAUGGUCAUAACGUAAUGGGAAAGGAAUAUAUAACAAGAAAAAAUAUCCCGGCAAGGGAGAAUAACUCAACAAUAAAUCCCGGCAAGGGAAAACAACUCAACAAUAAGUCCCGGCAAGGGAAGUAGUACCAAAACUUCCUCGUUAGUUCAUUUGCUUCUCAAAUAUCACUUCAUAGUUCAUUUAACAAGUAAUUAUCACAAUUAUUCACUUCUUUCGAAAUUUUAAUAGCAAUUAUGACUCACGAUAAUACUAGACUCGGGCGCAUAGGUAACCGUCACCAUACCUAUACACCGACUCCACAUAGCACAUAGCAAAUAUUAACCUAAUCCUAUUCCCUCAAGCCAAAGUUAGAUAAAAAAUUUACCUCGAAUCUAGAGAUAGAAACUUAAAGCUCAACAAUCGCCUUUCCUCUAUAAUUCGACCCCGGACCAACGAUAUCUAUUCACAAUUUACUCCAAUGUAUCAACAAAUGCUAGUUAAAUCAAUUUGAAUGCAUAAGAAUGAAAUUCCCAAAGUUUNNNNNNNNNNNNNNNNNNNNNNNNNNNNNNNNNNNNNNNNNNNNNNNNNNNNNNNNNNNNNNNNNNNNNNNNNNNNNNNNNNNNNNAAAUUCCCAAAGUUUUCCCCAAAAAUUUCAAAAAUUCCUCGAGCCCACAUGGUCUAAACUCGAGGUUCAAACCAAAAUAGGGAUACACAUUCCCCACGAGUUCAUAUAUGCAGUUUGUUUUGAAAUCGGACCCCAAAUUUAGGACCAAAUCCUCAAUUUUAUGAAAACCUAGGCUCUACCCCAAAUCCCUAUUUUUACCCAUUGAAAGCUUUGAUUUUAAGUUGAAAUCAUGACAAAAGAUGUUAAAGUUUGAAGAAAUUGAGUAAAAGUUGAUUUACAAGUGAUUUGGGAGAGAAAGAGACGAGAGAAAAUCUCCAACGGAUGUUUGGGUUUUGAAAAUAUGAAAAAUAAAGUUUGAAAUCAUCUAAGUAUAGGUUGCACAGUCGCAGAUGUCGCAAUUGCGAGGUUUUGUUCGCAAUUGCGAAGAAUGCAGAAAAUAACGAAUGUCGCAAUUGCGAGAAAUAAAUCGCAAUUGCGAAGAAGGCAAAAGUGAACGGACUUCGCAUUUGCGAAGAUUGGGCUGCAAGAUGUCGCAAUUGCGAGAAAUUAAUCGCAAUUGCGAAGAGAGAAAAUUUGAACGGGCUUUGCAUUUGCGAGAAUGAAUUCGCAUUUGUGAAGACAUGCUAUCAGGAGGGAAUCACAUUUGCGAGAAAUGGUUUGCAUUUGCGGAGUCUAGCCAUAAAAGGGAGGGAUCGCAUUUGCAAGUUUUCCUUGCAUUUGCGAUGAAGCAUGCCAUAGGGGAAGGCUCGCAUUUGCGAAGAAAAUCUUCACAAAUGCAAAGACUGCAUAUACCAGCAGUUAAAAUGCUUCAAAAUGCGCCUAACACUAAUCCAAAACUCACUUGAGCCCACGGGGCUCCAAUCCAAAUAUGCAUCCAACAUCAAAAACAUCCUACGGACUUACUCGUGCGAUAAAUCGCCAAAAUAAUAUCCAAAUCCAAGAAUCAACCUCCAAAACUCAUGAUUUUCAUUUCAAAGUUCAAAACUUUCAAAUAUUACAUUUUUAGUCCGAAACACGUCAAACGACGUCCAUUUUGAACCAAACUUUACAGAUAAUGCUUAAUGCUCAUUUAAGACUUGUACCGUGGGUCAGAACCAAAAUACAGCCCGGUACCAUCACUUUUGAUCAAUUUUUUGUUUUCAUUUUUCCUUAAGGAAUUUAAGAAAAUAAUUUAAUAGAAAAGUUCCGUACUCUGGCCUGGGAUCUCGGAUUUCAAUUCCGGGAAUAUGCCCGGGUCCCAAAUUUCGCUACGGACCUUCCGGGAUCAUCACAUCACGGGUCCGGGUCCGUUUAUCCAAAAUAUUGACCAAUGUCAACUAUAGCAAUAUUAUUAUAAAAAAUCAUAGCUUUUAACACAAAAUUCAAAUAUUUCCACAUAAAAAAUUUUCAACUUCGCACUCGGAUUGCGCACGCAAAUCGCUGAAACCAAGUAAGAGGUUAUUAAGGUCUCAGAAGCACAAAGGAAGGGAGAAUUAUGGUGAUAACCCUUUGGGUCGUCAUAAUCUUCCUGCCAGCUCUCCUCACUUGUUAGGAAAGAUAAUUAAAUUUGAGAUAUUGAACUAACCCUAUUUUAUUCUAAAAAGGGGUCAAGUUCCAAUGAUUGGUAAAGUUAUCUCUUUUAUGAAAAAUCAACGAUUACUAAAGAAAGAUAUUUUUGGUCUCUUGGCAAUGAUAAGGGACACAAGAGAGGAAACACUUUGUUUUGAAAAAGUACUCAUGGUGAGAAUCCUCCAAUAUAUUUCCUCGAGAAUUUACCAAGACUAUUGCCAAUAGAAGAAACAAAUUUUGGUGUUGAUUUAGUACCUGACAUGCAUCACAUAGUGAUACCCCCAUAUAGUGUGAUACAAGUAGAAUUGCUAGAGGUAAAAGAACAAUUACGAGAUUUAUUAGAUAAGAGUUUUUUUUUAAAUCGAGCUUAUUGCCAAUGGGUGCACCGAUAUUAUUUGUACAGGAGAAGAAAAACUGACUCCAUACAAUGUGCAUUGACUGCAAAUACCAAAUAAGAUAAUAACACAUAAUAAAUACCCAUAAUUUCAUAUAGAAGACCUAUUUAAUUAGUAAUAAUGAGCUUCUCACUUGGUAAGAUUGCGCGUUGCUUCUGGUUAUUAUCAACUUAGAAAUGGAAAGGAAGAUAUUCCUAAGAAAAACUUCAGGACUCGCCACUGUAUUAUGCAUUCUUACGAUGCUUCAGACUGACAAAUUUUCCUGCCGCACUCAUGGACUUAAUGAACAUGGUGUUCAAAUUAUUUCUGGAGAGACAGGUCGAUGUAUUUAUAGAUAAUAUUUUAGUAUGUUCUAAUACCUAAGAAGAAUAUAAGGAUCAUUUGAGAAUGGUGUUGCAACCGCAGAAAUUGGCAUAUUGUUAAGUUGUCAAAAAUAUUUUUUGCUAGACUUUGUAGUAUUCCUCAAGCAUGUUGAAUCAAGGAAUGAGAUUAUGAUGGAUCCUAAGGAGACAAGCAUUUCAAUAGUAUCCAAGACACACUCUUCCUAUAGAGCAUCAUAACUUCUUGGGUUAGGUAGGCUAUUUUAGGAGUUUGUGCAUGAUUUGUCUAAAAAAAAAAAAUCUUCUCUACCCAAGCUAGCAUAGAAGAACCCCAAAGUUUCAGCAGGCAAAGAAAAGUAUAUAGAUGCUUUCAUAAGCUUAAGACAUAUUUGAUAGACACACAAAUGUAAGCAUUACCACUAGAUUUCAGAGAUAUUUGAAUAUUUGAUAAAGAUGGUGACUGGAACUACUCAAGGACUACAAUUGUAUGCAUUGAGAAAAAUAUUCAUGGGUAGUUUGAUAUAUAUAUAUAUAUAUANNNNNNNNNNNNNNNNNNNNNNNNNNNNNNNNNNNNNNNNNNNNNNNNNNNNNNNNUAUAUAUAUAUAUAUAUAUAUAUAUAUAUAUAUAACUCUAGCAAAGAGACUUUUCAAAAAAAAAUGCACAUACUAGAAGGUGCAAGUAAUAUAUUUAUUAUGAAAAAUUCAGAGGCAUUAUUGGCUGAUAUUCAAUCCAAGUUUUUAUUAUUUUUGCACUUAUAAGGCUACUCAAUACGAGGAUGAGCGAUUGCUCUAAGUACAUGAGACUAGGCUCUGACUGGUGCAAGAAUAUGACUUUUAAUAGUUAUGGUAUUUUUUCGACUAGAUAAUCAACUAAUAGCAGCAAACAUAUACGGGUUGAGAUAGGCUAUAUGUAAUAAGAUCACAACUCUAGAUACACUAUAUAUUCAGGUCCAUAAGAUGCAUCAUGACUAGAAGAAAAUUGGAUUGGUUGGAAAAGAAAGAAGAAAGAAUUCAUUAACUUUGUUUAUGACUAUUUGAUAGCCAGCAUGUUAACACAAACACUUGCUACUCGUAGGCCCACUACAAUAACUCAAGUUUUGAACUGGAAAUAUAAUAGAAUUAUAACUACCUUAUAUGAACGAAUUACCCAAACUAUUAGAGGCAUGAUUAUGUAUGGGAAAACCGUAAAUUGGCUUAUAAAGCGAGCACAUUUGUUUCUAGUCAAAAUGCCAUAUAGUGAGGAAAAAUAUGCAUUGAUAUACAUGGAUAGAAAAUACUCCAACACAAUAGGUUCUAUUGUCUAUCAUCUAUGAUAGAAAAUCUUUUCAAGUUGUGUUGGCUAUACGAGUAUAUCUUAGUAUCGACUUUUAUUCACAUACAAGAGGACAAUCUGAAUGUAUUAUACAGAUCUUGAAGGAUAUGUUAAAAAAUUACAUUCUUGAGUUUGGAGGUAGUUGGAAUACCUAUCUAUCUUUAGUUGAAUUUGCUUAUAAUAAUAAUUUUCAGUCCAUCAUACAGAUGCCACCAUACGAAGUAUUGUAUAGUAGGAGAUAUUAUUUUCCUAUCGGAUAGUUUGAAGCUGGUAAGACUAACUUAUUAGGACCCGACCUAGUACAAGAAGCUAUGGACAAAGUCCAUUUGAUCAGAGAGAGAUUUCUUUAAUCUCAAAGAAGACAAAAGUCUUAUGAUGAAAGAGAAGAAGAGAUUUAGUGUUCACAAUUAGAGACAAAGUGUUCCUACGAAUCUCACCUAUGAAAGGUGCAAUGCGAUUUGGGAAAAAGGCAAGUUGAGCCCCAGGUUUAUAGGACCGUAUGCGACACAAGACCGAGUGGGAGCAAUGGCUUAUCGUUUGGUUAUUCCUCCUGAGUUGUCCUUUAUUCACCUAUUUUUUCAUGUCUCUAUGCUUAUAAAUUGUAUAUCAGACUCCUCUCAAAUGCUUGAGACACAAACUAUAUCGCUUGAUGAGAAGUUGUCUUAUAAGGAGGAGCCUAUGACUAUUAUUGAUUGACACAUAAGAAACAUAGUCACAAGAAAUUGUGAUCAUUAAAAUUUUAGGGGAGAAAUCAUACAGUUGAAGAAGCUACAUGGAAAGUGAAAAAUGAUAUGCGAGUCAAAUAUCCUCAUUUAUUUCUACAGGUACAUAGUUAAGUUAAAUUCGGGGAUCGAAUUUCAUAAGGUGGGAAGAAUGUAAUACCUUCAAUUAAAAAUAAUAAUAAUAAUAAUAGUAAGGAUAGUAAGUAAUUUGCCAAAAAAAAGAGAACAGACUAAUUAAAGGAAAAAGAAUUUUUUUUAAAAAAAGAAGAAGAGCUAAUUAGCUUAUAGCCAACAAAAGUGGCGUAACUGAAACCAAAAAGGAGAUUUGAGUCCUUAGCCUUGUAGGAUUUUAAAAAAAAGAUUUGAAGGGGAACAGGGAAACGCAGCCUUACUGCAGCUAAAACAAAAGUUGUAACAGUGGGAAAACAACGCAGAGGAACAACAGGGAAGAAGAAGAAGAAAGAGUAAUUGCUUGAACAACUUUGACAAGCAAAAGUGCAAAAAGAUAAGCUUUUGACAUUACUAUUUACAAUCAAGAAAGAAGGAGAAUUGAAAUUGUAGUGCAGCUUCAAGCGAAACAAUUCUUCGGAACAAAAGGUCAAUUUUCCCCUUUCUUUGAUUCUUCUUCAAUUUGCUGGUGGAUUUCUUUAAAUCCCGAUUUAUGUAUUUAUAGGAUUCCAUCGGGUAUUAAAAUUUAAAUUAAAAAACAUAUUAUGGACAACAGUUCUAUUUAAGUUUCAACUUAUAUGCAUGACUACGAAAAUUGAAUAAUACAAGGAAUAAACUAUAUAAAUAAUUUUUUUUAAUAGAAAAAUUUGGACUAAUUUAAAUUACUCAUGCCAUGAGUAAAUAUAAUUUAACAAAUAGAUGAUAAAACAUAAAAAUCUAAGGAUUGGGUAUUCUGAAUCAGUGAUGAAUUAGCCUAAAUGAGGCAAUUGACACGAGAUUAAUAUUAUGUGAUUAUAGAUUCAUUGGAGGAAGUUGUACGUUUGCUCGAGGUGAAGCAUUUGGUAUUUCAUCACGAGUACUGUUAGUAGUAAUCUUACCAUAAUUUGUGUUUUUAUAUUGUACGUAUGCUCGAGGUGAAGCAUUUGGUAUUUUGGCACGAGUACAGUAAGUAGUAAUAUUACCACAAUUUGUAUUUUCAUAAGCUGCAUAGUUUAUAUAUAAUUUUGAAAAUAAACGUAUUACACAUGCUUUAAAAUUUGCAUGUGGGACAAGACCUUUACUUGAUAUGAUACCGAAUAGUUUACUUGAGAUAUUUACCAAAUAAUCUAAAUAUUUUAACUGUUACUAUAUAUGUUUUACCGUUACUUGAGAUGUUAUAGUUAUUUGAAUUGUUCUCACUAUUAUUAGAUAUAUUUUACUGUUGCUUGAGACAUGAUGACUAUUACCGGAAAUAAAUUACAAGAUUUGAUAAGGAAUGGUAUGCCCUUUAUUAUUUUAAAAAUGCUUUUGUACGAGUAUUUACUAUUUACAAGAAAGAGUAUAAAUGGGAGGAGACUUUGAAGGAUCCCGUAGCUAGCGGCGGGUUCGUUAAAUCUGGUGCACCUUGUAUUUACAGAUUACCGAUUACCGAUUACAGUUAUAGCCCUCGUUAGUGGGAAGGUAGAACUAGCAUAAAGUUAUAGUUUUCCCUCGAGUAGGGACCUACAAGUUAUAUUUGGCUCUUUUACGAAGGGACCCACACAGUGAUACAGAUUACAUGAUCCUUUUUUUGGAAACCUCCCAAGCAUAAAUAUUUGCUAUGAGACAGUGUCUACCGUAUUUAUUAUCGACUUGUUAACUUAAUUCCUGUCACAGAAAAUACAUAAAUAGACUGAUUAUAUUUACUGUUUUUAGAGGGCAUUUUAUUUUUAUGAUAUUUCCUAAUUAUUAUUAUACAUGCAUGUUUUCUGACUUGUCCCCAGUUAAAAAUGGUUGUGGUUAAGUGUAAUUACUCACUGAGCUAGUGACUCACUCUUCGCUAAUUUUUUUACAGAGACAGCAGUUAACGCAGAUGAGAAUUUCCUUAAUUAGAGCGCACAUAUUGAUAUUUCUCGGUGAGCCUCGCACUUGUUCGCGUGGGCAAAGAUUUUAUUUAUUAUUAUGGUCUUUUCAUUGAACUCUUAAAGUCGCUCCAUAAUUAAUUUUUUAGUGUCGUGAGUAUUCUUUUGUAAUUAUAGUCGUAAUGUUGAGUAUCGUUCUCAUUUAUCAAAGUUAGAGAUAAAUUAGUGUUUUUGGUAGUUAGUUGGUGAUUUAGUUAUGGUGGAGACUUGUUUUGGUU